AGUAAAUUUUUAUUUUGAAAUUAAAAAUAUUUAUUUUGUAUUGGGGAUUUGCUUUAAAAAUUAUUUAUAUAUAAAUUUUAUUUUAGAUGAAGUGUUUUGUAGUAUAUAAAAUUAAAUAUGAAUUAUAGUUUGAUUUAGAAAUUUUUUUUAGAAUGGACAUAGUUUGUGCCAGCCGUAGCGGUUAUACAAACCAUUCAGGUUAAUUGGGUUGAGUUCAAUUAGGUGUAAUUAUUUUUAUAAUAAAAAUGAAUUUUUUAGGUGAAAUUUUAAAUUUAUUUUAUUUAUUGAUUGUUGAUUUGAGAAAUUUUUAUUUAAACUAGGAUUAGAUACCCUAUUAUUUAAAAUGUAAUUCUUUGCUUAAAUUAUUAUUAGUUAAGUUCUUUAAAAUUAAAAAAUUUGGCGGUAUUUUAGUCUUUUCAGAGGAACCUGUUUUUGAAUUGAUGGUCCACGAUUAUAUUUACUUUUAUUUUUAAUUUAUAUAUCAUCGUUUAUAAAAAUUUUAUGAGAAUAUGAAUUUUUUUUUAUUUAAUUAGAUUAUAUUUCAGAUCAAGGUGUAGUUUAUAUAAAAGUUAAAAUGGGUUACAUUGUUAUUAAAUUUGGAUUAUUAUUUUAUAAUUAAUAAUAAAUUGGAUUUGAAAGUAAAUUGUUUUAUUUAAGAUGAUUGAUUAAGCUCUAAAAUAUGUACAUAUCGCCCGUCGCUUUCGUUAUAAAAUGAAAUAAGUCGUAACAAAGUAGAUUUAUUGGAAAAUGAAUCUAGAAUGA
This 762-nucleotide non-coding RNA is filed under the name Leiochrinini sp. 2 ACP-2013. Lineage: Eukaryota; Metazoa; Arthropoda; Insecta; Coleoptera; Tenebrionidae. The record is from RNAcentral.